This 226-nucleotide long non-coding RNA is filed under the name Panax ginseng (ginseng). RNAcentral describes it as "long non-coding RNA (PGIN_LNC014408)". Lineage: Eukaryota; Viridiplantae; Streptophyta; Magnoliopsida; Apiales; Araliaceae. The record is from RNAcentral.
UAAUUUCAGUCGAACAAACGUUAUCUUCGACGGAACGUAUCCGUCGUAAACGCUCUAUCUCUGAUGUAAAUUUUGUCGAAGUUAAUAAUUAGACAAUUUUAAUAAAUAGUGGGUUAUUUUAGUUUUCAGUCGAAAAUAAUAUAAUUCCGAGGGAAUACAUCCGUCGAAAAUAGGUACUGUUAUAUUCGACGAAAGUUUCGUCCUAUAUAUUCUGUCGAAGAUAGUU